CUUGGUCCAAUUUUUGGUUUGUAGGUGUUGACAGGGGAUGAAAUGUCCCAGAUUGAUGACAUCACGCUCUCGGUGAUCGAUUUUGGCCUACAAGGCUAUACAGUAUCAUAUUUUGUACAACCCUUUUUAUGUAUUGUUUUGAUGGAAUAUGCAAGUCAUUUCAUUUUAGAUUUUUAAAAUUAUGUUUAAUUUAUUAUUUGUACUAAUAUCUCAUGUUAAUUUUGUUUUUUUAGGGUACCCCCUCCGCGUCUAGGGCUCGUCCUAAGAAAAAGAAUUCCUCGAAGACACCAAAACGUGGGAAGAAGGUAAUUGAACACAUUUUUAGUUGUACAAUUGUUUGAAAAUGUUGAAAUCAAUUAUUAGUUGGGGUUUGUAGAUUGAUUAGUGUUUUUUGUCUAUUUUACAUGUACAACGGCCAUUGAGCUAUGUGGAUUUGUUGAAUGCACCUGAUUCGCUCGUGGAUCAAGAGAGGGCAGAGGAAAUAUCCAUACCUAUUUCAUCAAUGGCGAACCCUCCUCUGUGCACUGGAGAAGCAUCUCAAGAUCUGGUAAUAGCGACAGUUUCUACAUCGAUGGUGAGCCAUCCUCAGUCCAUUGGAGAAGCAUCUCAGGCACAAACCCCUUCGUAGUACGGCCAUAAUGUGGAUCCAUUUAAGCAUGUCUUCAAGAAAACUCCUAAGAGUGACAAGGAGAGGAGAGCGAAGACAUUAGCUCCUAGAUCGGCCGAUGAGCCAUCUACAAAGUCGCGUAUUGCAUCGAGGAGGCUUGAUUUUGAUGAUCCACCACAAGUUUAGGAUCAUAUAGUGUUAGUUUUGAUCAUAGAAUGACCAAUACAUGUAGAUAUAUUCUACAUUUUUAUUGUAUAUCGAUUUGGACAUGGCAUAUGCCACAUUUUUGUAAUGCUUGU
Cryptomeria japonica (Japanese cedar) is the source of this 906-nucleotide long non-coding RNA. RefSeq lists it as uncharacterized. The record is from RefSeq and is a predicted model, not a curated record. NCBI's taxonomy places the organism in Eukaryota, Viridiplantae, Streptophyta, Pinopsida, Cupressales, Cupressaceae. The transcript is spliced from 5 exons.